GACGAACGCUGGCGGCGUGCUUAACACAUGCAAGUCGAACGGAAAGGCCCUGCUUUUGUGGGGUGCUCGAGUGGCGAACGGGUGAGUAACACGUGAGUAACCUGCCCUUGACUUUGGGAUAACUUCAGGAAACUGGGGCUAAUACCGGAUAGGAGCUCCUGCUGCAUGGUGGGGGUUGGAAAGUUUCGGCGGUUGGGGAUGGACUCGCGGCUUAUCAGCUUGUUGGUGGGGUAGUGGCUUACCAAGGCUUUGACGGGUAGCCGGCCUGAGAGGGUGACCGGCCACAUUGGGACGGAGAGACGGCCAAGACUCCUACGGGAGGCAGCAGUGGGGAAUAUUGCACAAUGGGCGGAAGCCUGAUGCAGCAACGCCGCGUGCGGGGUGACGGCCUUCGGGUUGUAAACCGCUUUCGCCUGUGACGAAGCGUGAGUGACGGUAAUGGGUAAAGAAGCACCGGCUAACUACGUG
Molecule: ribosomal RNA, 468 nt
Filed under: uncultured bacterium
Lineage: Bacteria
Description: partial 16S ribosomal RNA
Rfam family: Bacterial small subunit ribosomal RNA
Source: RNAcentral